Molecule: transfer RNA, 82 nt
Filed under: Phaeoacremonium minimum UCRPA7
Lineage: Eukaryota; Fungi; Ascomycota; Sordariomycetes; Togniniales; Togniniaceae
Description: tRNA-Leu (AAG) (tRNA-Leu-AAG-1-1)
Rfam family: tRNA
About the family: Transfer RNA (tRNA) molecules are approximately 80 nucleotides in length. Their secondary structure includes four short double-helical elements and three loops (D, anti-codon, and T loops).
Source: RNAcentral
GGUGAGAUGGCCGAGUUGGUUAUGGCGCCAGGUUAAGGUCCUGGUGGUGAAAACCGCGUGGGUUCGAGUCCCACUCUCAUCA